Molecule: long non-coding RNA, 1334 nt
Filed under: Vigna radiata
Lineage: Eukaryota; Viridiplantae; Streptophyta; Magnoliopsida; Fabales; Fabaceae
Description: long non-coding RNA (VRAD_LNC005142)
Source: RNAcentral
UUUCAGACCUAGGGAUUUGGAGGAGGAUGAGCCGUCACUUGAUUUUAUUCUUCCUUGCUUGAACCGUCAUUCUCUGGACUGAGAGACAUGUGCUUCACAGUUUUCUCUGAGGGAUUAAUGGAAGAGCUCAUUUUUCGUUUUCUUAUUCUAUAGUUGCCGCCGCUCUUUCUUUUUACUGCAACUUUAAACGUUUCUUUGGACUGAACUCUGGAAGCAACCACUUAUGAUGGGCAUUUGCUUUUGAACUUUGAUUUUGCUGGGGAAACUAUUGAACAUUUCACUGUUGCAUUUAUUUUUGUGGGAGGAACGUUGGUUUCUUAUGCAUAUAAAAAAAAGUUGUUGCAGCUGUUGUCUCCUUAGAAGAUUAUCAUUUUCAACUUCACUUUACUUUGGAGGAUAAGGCAGUUCCAGCUAGGAACGUGGUCCAUCUCACGGUUCAUUAUGAUUGCACACGUCCUGGAAGAAGCUAGCUUGAGAAUGGAGUGAUGUUCUCGUUAUUUGAGAUAAACUAAGGAGAUUAAUAUGGUGUUAGAUGGUUACAAGGAAGAGAGAUGCGCUAAUUGAUUGGAGAAAGAAAUUCCUUCACGGUUUUGGUUGCAGAGGAUAGAGUUCAUUUACAAAAUGGGGUAUUAUGUGGAAGGUGCUGCACCAUUGUUUUAGUUGAAUAAAAAAAUUGAUACAGCAUGGAGUCAUGGCUUGGUAUUUCACGGUUUUUGCUGAAUGACAAUGAGUGUGGGGUCCGUUAAUUGUAUGCUACUAGGAGAGAGGAAUCCUUGUUGAUGGUUGUGGUUUUUGGAACUUUGAAGUCAAAGGUGCAUUGCAUUGAUGAGGAAAGAGUGUUAUUCACUUGCAGAGGUGUUACGGUUUCAACAUUUUACCACUUGAAUGCUAUUUAAUUUAUUUGGCUUUUAAGGAAUUGUAGAAGUGAGUAGAUGGGAGGAAGAAAGUCAUGUCUGCACUGCUACGGUUUCAGAGAAGAAAAUUAGCAUUUUAAUUUGCUUGUACUUUCAUUUUGUUUUGUUGGUGUGAGAGGAAGAUUAGGUAGAAGUUGGUGGGAUGUCAUGUCUUGCUAGGAGCAAAAGUUGGUUGACUUUUCUUUGACAAGCAUUGAUUCAUUUCACUCUAGAAGUUAAUUCAUGGCAAGCAAGGUCACGGCAAAGAGGGGUUUAUGAUUGAUUUGUUGAUGAAGAUGGUUGGAAGAGUACUUGAUUCCUUUGAGAAAUUUAGGACUCAUGCUAAAGAAGGUGCAGACGGUUUUUGACCUUGGAAGAAGAGAAUUCACUCUUUUGUGUUUUUGGCAAUUGAAAAUCGUGACUCAUUGCCCUUGGGAGAAG